GACGAACGCUGGCGGCGUGCUUAACACAUGCAAGUCGAACGGAAAGGCCCCGCUUUUGUGGGGUGCUCGAGUGGCGAACGGGUGAGUAACACGUGAGUAACCUGCCCCUGACUUUGGGAUAACUUCAUGAAACUGGGGCUAAUACCGGAUAGGAGCUCCCGCUGCAUGGUGGGGGUUGGAAAGUUUCGGCGGUUGGGGGUGGACUCGCGGCUUAUCAGCUUGUUGGUGUGGUAGUGGCUUACCAAGGCUUUGAAGGGUAGCCGGCCUGAGAGGGUGACCGGCCACACUGGGACUGGGAUACGGCCCAGACUCCUACGGGAGGCAGCAGUGGGGAAUAUUGCACAAUGGGCGGAAGCCUGAUGCAGCCACGCCGCGUGCGGGAUGACGGCAUUCGGGUUGUAUACCGCUUUCGCCUGUGACGAAGCGUGAGUGACGGUAAUGGGUAAAGAAGCACCGGCUAACUACGUG
RNAcentral lists this ribosomal RNA (468 nucleotides) under uncultured bacterium. RNAcentral's name for it is "partial 16S ribosomal RNA". It matches the Rfam family "Bacterial small subunit ribosomal RNA", at positions 28 to 507 of the family's 1533-position model. The record is from RNAcentral.